RNAcentral lists this ribosomal RNA (362 nucleotides) under uncultured bacterium. Its description in RNAcentral is "partial 16S ribosomal RNA". It matches the Rfam family "Bacterial small subunit ribosomal RNA", at positions 338 to 697 of the family's 1533-position model. The record is from RNAcentral.
CCUACGGGAGGCAGCAGUGAGGAAUAUUGGUCAAUGGACGCAAGUCUGAACCAGCCAUGCCGCGUGCAGGAAGACGGCUCUAUGAGUUGUAAACUGCUUUUGUACGAGGGUAAACUCAGAUACGAGUAUCUGUCUGAAAGUACCGUACGAAUAAGGAUCGGCUAACUCCGUGCCAGCAGCCGCGGUAAUACGGAGGAUUCAAGCGUUAUCCGGAUUUAUUGGGUUUAAAGGGUGCGUAGGCGGUCGGUUAAGUUAGAGGUGAAAUCCCGAGGCUCAACUUCGGAAUUGCCUCUGAUACUGUACGGCUAGAGAGGAGUUGCGGUAGGCGGAAUGUAUAGUGUAGCGGUGAAAUGCUUAGAGAU